AAGAAAACCGCAAGGUUUGACGGUACCCGUAGAAGAAGCCCCGGCUAACUCCGUGCCAGCAGCCGCGGUAAUACGGGGGGGGCAAGCGUUGUUCGGAAUUACUGGGCGUAAAGGGCGCGUAGGCGGUCUGCUAAGUUGGAUGUGAAAACUCUGGGCUUAACCCAGAGCCUGCAUUCAAAACUGACAGGCUAGAGUUCUGGAGGGGAUAGCGGAAUUCCUGGUGUAGCGGUGAAAUGCGUAGAUAUCAGGAGGAACACCGGUGGCGAAGGCGGCUAUCUGGACAGAAACUGACGCUGAGGCGCGAAAGCUAGGGGAGCAAACAGGAUUAGAUACCCUGGUAGUCCUAGCCCUAAACGAUGGAUACUUGCUGUAACUGGGAUUGAAUCCAGUUGUGGCGAAGCUAACGC
Molecule: ribosomal RNA, 407 nt
Filed under: uncultured bacterium
Lineage: Bacteria
Description: bacterial SSU rRNA
Rfam family: Bacterial small subunit ribosomal RNA
Source: RNAcentral